Molecule: long non-coding RNA, 6074 nt
Filed under: Olea europaea subsp. europaea
Lineage: Eukaryota; Viridiplantae; Streptophyta; Magnoliopsida; Lamiales; Oleaceae
Source: RNAcentral
CUUCUCUCAUGGUCUCUCAAACCCUUACCCUUCGAGACCCCAUCGAUUCUCUCACACGACUACUCCCUCACUGCUGUCUCAUUCCCCUCCACCCAUAACCGCCAUCCCCUCCCCGCCCUCUCAAAACCCAAAGUCCUCUCUUUCUCCCCAUACCAAAAACGCUCAAAAUCAAGAAUCUCGGCCUCAGUUUCAGCUCCACUUGCAAACCCAGAAAUAAAAUCUCCCAAAAUCCAAAACCCAUCUCAAGAUUUUCUCUCCGAGUCGACUCGAACACUCACUACUCUCUUGGCCACGGCCCUAAUAGCCUCAAAAUUCUUGGCUGGCGGAAUCCUAAGCUUGGCCGUGCAUUCUUCGCAGCAAUGAAGGAUGUUCCUGCUACGUCGUUGAACACGCUAUUCACAGUUGUGGCGGCCGGAAUGGCGAAAUGGCUGGACAUUUACAUUGGGCUUCUAAUGGUUAGAGUUUUGCUGAGCUGUUUUCCCAAUACUCCCUGGGACAGGCAGCCGCUAUCAGUAAUUCGAGACCUAUUUCAAGAAUAUAAUCCCUCCAUUGUUUAUUGUUCUUUGAGUGCGAAUUUGGUUUCUAAGGUUGUGAUUUAUAUUUUAAUAGACUACUUAAUUUUCAUCAUUACUAUAAUUUUUAUUUAUUCACGAAGUAUUGGUAUAAACAAAAUCCUUUAGUUAGAUGUUCUGCUUUGCUGAUUUAUUUAAUAGACGUAAUGCUAGAAAUAUCUAAUUUACUUUUGCUUUAUACUACACGAGUUUGUGCCUCAAAGAUCAAAUGUUUAUCUUGUUUAUAGUAAUUUUUUUUGACUGAUUUAAAUUUGUGUUUUUCUCUUGAAUAUUGAAUCUUUUAUGGUAGUUGUGAAUUAUUAUUAUUUUUUACAGCGACGCUGAUUUAAUGGGUCAUUUAUCAAAAAAUUUAUUCCUUUUUUCAAAAGCCUUACAAGGAUAGAGGAUCUACCAAAGGCUAUUGGUAAAAGGAAUCCGUUAUCUUCUACACAGUAGUAUAUAUGAUGAUAUGUCUUGUUGUCAUUGCCCAAAAGUUCUUGCUUCAAGUUAACUUGAUUUGGGGGGAGCAGAGAAAAGUUGUGGAAUUGUGAGUUAUAUGUUCUGUGUGAGUUAUAUUAAAAAAAUGAAUAAGUAUAUAAGAUUAGUUCGAAACUUCAUCUUCCUCUAGGUAUAUUUUGUUCCAUGAAUGUGGUCAUCAAGGAAUUUUACACUGUUGAAUAGUUGCAGAUUAGAAAUUUUACCAUGACCAGUUAAUGUUUUGACCAUGACUAAUAUUCUUAUUUAUAAUUUUUUGGGUAAUGAACUUCUCUUUGACUCAUUUCCAUACAAGGAAAUCGAAAAUGGAAUUCUCUAGGAAGUUGAGGGAAAGGUAAAGGUCUAUACUUAUUUCAUUAGAUUUAGUUAUUGUUUCAUUGUUAUGUCCAUAGACUUGGUAAACAAUUUUCAAUUUGCUUUAUUUACUAAUUGCUUGCUUGUUUGGAUUAUACUAGGAGGUAUUGUAUACUCGUAUUAUUAUAUCUCCUUUGCAACAUUUUUACACCAUAAUUUUUGUAGUGGAACACAAUAGGUUGUCCAGGAAGUAGUUGAUGUAGACAUUGGUGCCUUAUGCUAAAGGAAUUUAUGAGGAAGAGGGUGUUGAUAAUGUGGCUGUCAAAGUCGUUGACAUUGUUGACACGUUCACGCUCCAAGUUAUUUUAUGCAUAAUGUGUAUUAUAUGACUGAAUUCUAUUUGCAGAAUUUAAUGUUUUUUAACCUGGUUAUUAAAUACAGGAGCAACCCCCUUUUGACAAGAAGCAAUUUGUUGCGUACAUGAAGAAGUAUAUCGAGCUGUUAACACCAAAGCUCAAUGCAGAGAAGCAAGCACAGUUGGAGAAGGGUAUUGAAGGGGCGACUAACUUUCUGCUCUCAAAGCUUAGUGACCUCCAAUUGUAAGUUUAACAUAGCGUUCUUUUAACAUGUUUGGUAAAUAGGUGAUAAUACCACUGAAAGUAUUGAGUAGAUGAUGACAAAAUCUUAAUUUAUUAUACUAAUCGUGAGGGCUCGUAUUGAUAGCUUCUACAUUGAAGUAUUUCCUUAGUUGGCUUUCUUUGAAACCUCUUUUAAGCAUCAAAUAAAGUGUUGUCAAAAAAUUAUCCACAUAGAUCCAAAAAAAAAUCUUUUAGUUUUAAAAUCUACUUUAGGUUUUCAAGAAGCAAUAUUAAAAGGUCUCUGUUUUGGCCAACCAUAUGCUAACACUUACAUAUUUCCAAAUAUAUAUUUAACAUUAUCUUGCAAUUACAUAGAGAGAUGCACACCUCCCAUUUGAGCAUCAUUUCUUUAUCAAUAGAAAAGGUUUGGAAAUCCACACACACACACACACAUAUAGUAAUUAUUUGUGGGCAAUAUGGUGUUCUUUUGGUUCUUGGAUCUUUAGUUAUGUAAAUUUUUGUUUUUUAUCUUUAAUUUUUUUAAUUAAUAAUAGCAUUCAUUGUAGGAGGAGAUUAAUGACGGUGGUCGUUACACGAAUGGUAAUCCUGUUCCAUUGGUGAUGAAGGGUGGUGGCUGGUUGUUUUUGAUCUACGAUGUAAUGGAUAGUGAUUUUGGAUCUUGAGGUGAAGGUAGGUAUUAAAUAGAUAGAGAAAAGGAGAGGGUAAAGCCUAAAAUGGGAACUUUAAUAAUUAUUUUUCGGGUGAUUUAUGCAUAUGUGGUAAACUGGAAAUGAUACCAUGAAUAUAUUUUUAAGAUUUCCUGGUUGCUUUCUAUUUAGCUAUUUUAGGAUUUAUCUAUUCCAUUCAUUUAACUUUAAUUUGAAUAUUGCAAAAAUAGAUCCAAGUCACCAGCAAGAACAGAAAGGGAGAGAGGAUAGGAUAUGCAUGUAUAUGCAAGUGUUUUCAUUUCAGGUUUAAGCCAAGAUCGUGGGAUACCUACUCCAAAUUGGGAUGUUUUUGCUGAUAUCGGUGCUGUUGGAAGGGUGACCAGAGCUCAUGUAGUUCCUAGAAUAGUAGAGCGGUUAACUUUUAGAGGCUUUAAAUGAAGAAGUUGAAUGUAAGUGAUUAAGUCCUUUCAUUUGGUUUGUUCUUCGAGAUAUUUAUUUUUAAAAUUUUUGAUUACACAAGAAUUAAUUGCUUUCCACACAGAAGACCAAAAUUGUGCGAACUAAAUUCUUUUAUGUUUUAUAGUUUUUUUACUCAGUUUUACAUGAAAACUGCUUGCCCUUUCUGUAUUUCUGGGCCUGUUAUAAAUCCAAUAUCGUAGUUUCACUUGAUAUUUUAAGUUCAAGAAUAUUACAUUAUGAGAUGAAAAUCCACAUGGAACAAAAUAAGCUUCACGCCUUUUCUAUUUCCUCAAAUGCAUUAAAAACUUGGUCAAUUAUCGAAUUCAAACAAACCAAAGCCUAUGCCUCAACGUCUUUAAAUAUUAUUAUGUAUUUAAGUUACAAAUCAAAUGAAUGGAAAUAUUCAAUUUAUGGGGAAAAAAUGAAGAGUCAUUUAGAUGUAGGGUGAAUUAAUGGUAAUAGUUUUAAUAAAAAAGCAAGGACAUUGAGAACACCAAUUGAUUGCAUUAUUCCCAAAUUCCACAUUGGUUCUUUUGUCCUACAAGACUGAUGUCAUGUUUAUCUACUCAUGUACUACACUAUCCAGCAAUUUGCAGUAGCAUGCCUUGAUCUUUUCCUAUAGAAGGGUUUCCUGUUCUUAUAAAAUACCAAAAAUUGACAAAAUGAAAUUUGAGAAUGUUUUCUACGCACACCUUCUGAUGGAGCUUUGUGCUGGUCGAGAGCUUUUUCAUGGAAUUGAGAAGUUGGGGAGAUUUCCCGAGCACAAGGCACGGGUUAUUUUUAGACAAUUUAUGGAAGUGGUCAUGUAUUAUCAUGAUAAAGGUAUUUUCCACAGAGAUUUGAAACCAGAAAAUAUCCUCUUUGUCUCAAAGUCUUCAACCUCUUCUAUCAAAUUAGCAAAUUUUGGUCUCUUUUUAUCAUUUCUUAUUUUCAAUUUUAGAAUUUUGGUAGUUUCAACAAGUUCAUCUCUAUUAGCCAGUUAAAUAACUUGGUUGCCAAUGAACUUUCACGUUGGUCUCUAAACUUGGUUUAGGAUCAACUUGAUCCCCAUAUUUAAACUCUAUAUUAAGUUGACGGGAGGAGUGGUUAGCGGUUUGGGAAAAGGAAUGACUGCAUGCAGUAUUGGUCUCAUCCUUGAGGCCUAUGGACUUCGUGUUAUUUCCAUCAAAAUUAAUUAAUGUUUCUCCUCUUAUACUUGUUAUUUUCUUUCAUUGUGUAUCUCCCUCUUAGAAGAAAUAUGAAUGAAAAUAUGUGAGGGUCUAAGCUCUGUAAUCAAAUCCCCACCCCCCAAAAAAUGGUGAAUAUACUUCUACUUCUCCAUUUUUGGUUCUCACAAGAGAUUACAUAGUGUUUGAUUAUAUCCUUUUUUGUAUCUUUGGGAAAUUUUCUCAUUCUCUAUUUUUAAUUAUAUCCCUUUUGAUUUUCUAUUUUCCUCGUUUCUUUAAUAUCAUCACCUUGUUUUAUAUAUAUGUGUGUGUGUGUGUGUGUGUGUUUUCUUCGUAUGUCUCUUUCACUUUGGUAUGUAGAUCCAUACUUGAAUUUGAUGUCGGGACAAUGUUGCCUUUUGAGCAUGGAGAAGUGAACGUUUUGGAUGAUGGAGGAGAGCUUAAAAAAGCAUCCUUCAAUUAAGCUUAGUUUGCUUAGAUCUAAAUAUGUGGUUUCACUUGAAUUUAGUUUUAGUAUUGUUUUAAUUCUGUCAUUAAGCUUUGAUUCAUGGUACUAGAUUUAAUUGAGGUUACUAUCUUAUAAAGAUUGCAGCUAUUUCAUUUUUUUUUCUAUAGCAUGUAGUCUUGUCCGUGAAUUUUGGUGUGAAAUCUUGAUUGAAGCAGAGGUUGAGAGUUGAAUCUUCCUCAUACACUAAGCAAAUGAUGACUUGAUUCCAAUAUUUGAAGGUGGACCUCGACCUUGGAAAUUGUGAACAGUUUCUAGAUAUAAGAUGAACACGUGACAACAAUAUAAUUACUGUAAAAAUUUACCAGGCGAGUUGUUGGCUUGUUCUUACCAUUUUUAGAGAAAAUCUAAUCUAUUUUCGCUAUGUUGAGGUCCUUAACUAGUUGGCAGAUUUUAAUUUCAUAAAUUGUGCUUUUUUCUUGUUUUAGUCUAUUAUUUGAUAAGGAGAGAAGGGAAGAUUAUCCGGGGAAUACUGUUCGAGUUUUGGCACUAAUUUUGAACUUUUCUUUUCUGUUGUAUUGUCUAUAUUGGUGCAUAAUUUCACACUUCUUCUGUCAUUUACGUGGUACCUCACAUUAUUAAUGCUAUUCAAGAGUGAAUUCAAUGUGUUGCAAUUAUACCGGUGGAUGGAAAAGAGGGUCCAUCUGAUGCUUGUGUCAUAGAAUUGGGUGGCACUAUUAGUAUAAAAGGUGUUUCACUUGUAUUAAAAUCAAUUGUAUUUAACAUUGGUGGCUUGUAAAAAAGAUCUUUCAUUUUGCAGGCGAUAUCGAGUCAAUGCCCUUUAUUGAGGCACUGGAAUAGUUCUCAUUUCGAGUAGGUAAGAUUUUAUUUGUAAAUCUAGACUCAUAACCAUAUUUACUUAAAUUAACUUUGUCAGAGUCUGACGGUUGUUUUUCUCAUAGAUUAACAUCCUUGCGUCAAUAAUUGACCUUCUCAGGAGCUGGUAAAUAUUGCUUGAUACAUGUUAGCUUUGCGCCUGUUCUGAAUGUUGUUAGUCUGCAGGUGAGGUUUUGGGACAUGAACUUAUAGACUUUGCUUCCUUACUGUACAGUUAUUUUAAAUCCUCAAUAUAAUACAAGUACCAUGGUGUUUGCAUGGUCAGAAGAAAAAGCUGUUAGAAGGCUACUGAGCUUGGUUGGUUUGGAGUUGAACGCAAGAAACAUGUUAAGGGCCUGUUUGAUAGGCUUGGUUUUCCAUGUAAAAUGGAAAACAUUUUGCAUUUCCACCCAAAAAUGUGUCUGAUGGCAAAAAUAUUUCAUGGAAUUGGUUUUCUUGGUACAACCCAUUUUUGCACCAUUUUUCACCUUUUUAAGGAAAAUGUUUUCCCAUGUGUUUGGUGAUUUUUCGUUUUUCAGCCU